AUUAUAGCUUCAAAAGAUUUUGAGACUGGACAGGACUUUGAUGAUAAACUCCUUCCAGUCCUUCUGGAUCUCCUGGCAUGCUUCUCUCCUGAAAUAUCUGGAAGGCUCUUCUGGGCUAAGUAAGGCUUAUCGGGAUGAUUUUGAUUUAGUUAUUUGAAACCAAAACGGCAGUUUGUGGAGCCUGGUCUGGAGCUGUGGAGCAGUAAUAUAUCAGAGAUCAGACUUAGGUCCCAGUGGGAUUAUUCAUCAGGAUUUAUUUGCCUGGAAGUACAAGCAGAAACCAAAUGGUCAGAUUUUUUUUGACGACUGUGUGCAGGAACAAGAUUUGCUAAAUCCCUUCAUUUUUAUUUAUAUAAAUAUCGGCAUUCAGUGAGCAUCAGUUAUCCCAGCAUUGAGAGGUAAGGAAAACUCAGGGAGAAUCUUGUGAAUCUCAGCUUAGUGCCAGGCUUGUUUGUAUCUCUGGGGAUAAGUCUGCUGCCUCAACUUUAACCCUUGUCUGUUCUGAUAGGGGACAACACCCUCACAGUGGCUGUUUUGCAUAUGGAACCUCCCCUUAACUAACUCCCAUCUGAUAGCUUUAGCCUAGAAAGUAUAGUGGGAGGGGUCAGAUUCUUCCAGUGGGGCUUCUCUGACUGUAAAAUAUUAAGAUUAGUGUUGGAGGAGAAGGGCAAUUCAUUCCCUCCAAUGGAGCGCCUUCUUUAGGCUUCUUUAGCUUUUAGUGAUGUCUUUGGCAAAGACUACUUUUAAUUUGAAGAUGAUUCUUUUCCUCGCUCAGUAGAUGAAAUUAUAAUAUUACCAUAUGAGGCCGUUCCCUAUCAAACUUGUUUAUCUUGAU
Molecule: long non-coding RNA, 835 nt
Organism: Choloepus didactylus (southern two-toed sloth)
Lineage: Eukaryota; Metazoa; Chordata; Mammalia; Pilosa; Megalonychidae
Exons: 3
Source: RefSeq, a predicted model, not a curated record